This 398-nucleotide ribosomal RNA is filed under the name uncultured bacterium. Its description in RNAcentral is "partial 16S ribosomal RNA". It matches the Rfam family "Bacterial small subunit ribosomal RNA", at positions 360 to 773 of the family's 1533-position model. The record is from RNAcentral.
AAUAUUGCGCAAUGGGGGGAACCCUGACGCAGCGACGCCGCGUGAAGGAUGAAGGUUUUCGGAUUGUAAACUUCUUUGGCCGGGGACGAAUAAAUGACGGUACCCGGUUAACAAGCCACGGCUAACUACGUGCCAGCAGCCGCGGUAAUACGUAGGUGGCAAGCGUUGUCCGGAAUUACUGGGUGUAAAGGGCGUGCAGGCGGGAGGGCAAGUCAGAUGUGAAACCCCACGGCUCAACUGUGGGCUUGCAUCUGAAACUGCUUUUCUUGAGUGUUGGAGAGGAAAGUGGAAUUCCUAGUGUAGCGGUGAAAUGCGUAGAGAUUAGGAGGAACACCAGUGGCGAAGGCGACUUUCUGGCCAACAACUGACGCUGAGACGCGAAAGCGUGGGGAGCAAAC